Molecule: long non-coding RNA, 1501 nt
Organism: Brassica oleracea var. oleracea
Lineage: Eukaryota; Viridiplantae; Streptophyta; Magnoliopsida; Brassicales; Brassicaceae
Exons: 4
Source: RefSeq, a predicted model, not a curated record
UUAUCACUUCAGCGACUAGAAGAAACUUUUCACCACUAAAGAAACAAUCAACUUACCGGCCACGAUAACUGGAGACGUUACGGGAGAGACUCAAUCGAAGGGUCAUCUUUAACGAUGUCAGGAUUUGUCAUUGAAUGCGUAUCCAUUACUUCUUCUGGGUGAAUCUUCGACUAUAAAAAGGACUGAGUUCGGAUACGAGUCGACCGAUUGGCUCGAUAGAUGUAGCUUCACAGUCUCUGGGUCGUAGAACGCUGCUACGAAGAAACGUUCCUGGCUGAAGCUUGUGGAAGACAUCUAAAUCCGUAUACGUACUUCGUUUGAGGUAAUCUGUGGACCUGUAACCAAUCCUCCAUCUCCCUGGCUACAAAGGUUUCUGGGGAUUUUGGAGAAAAUAGAGGAGCUGAGCUAUGGUGGAAAAGUUAGAAGCUUUCAGAAAUGCAAGUUUACCCUGAUUCCUUUAUUGUUUACAUAAGUCUCCACAAUUACUUUGCUAUAUUUACUCUCAAUUCUUGGACCUUUGACUUUCCUUACUUCAUUGCACCGCAGACUGCUGAGUGGUGCUCAGGUAUAUGCUACCAAUACAAUCUCUAUAUUAUGGACUGUGUUUUGAUGAGUUGUCGCUGUCACUGUGAGGUUUACUCUUGAGAUUGCAUUGUAUUUCCACUUUUUCCAGGCUAUUUGUUCAUCGUAUUUCAGUAGAAGCUUUUACGUUGUACAUGUAAAUGAGACAGGCUACCAGCUACAUUGGUGACAAUAAGCUAAAGGCGGAUUCAAACCACCUAGCCAAAGAAAAAACUUGAAUCUUUUGGUCUGACAGUGGAUUUGAUGGGUGGGUUUGACAAAUGGCAUGAGUGUUUCUAGAGCUUGAAAACCCAUCUAAUCUGAAGUAUACUAGGACCUAAGGAGUCUAACGUUAUUUCUACGAACCUUAGCAAGAAUGUAAAAUAGUCUCGGGUUUUUAAUGGACUACGGGAACAAGGAUUGAGUUCAUAAGUCUGUGAUUACAUUCAUGCGAUCUUCUUGAAGGUAGUACGUUCUCUGUAUCUGUUAGUAAUAUAUACUAACUCCAACGACUAUUUUACUUUGGUCCAUUGUUGUAGACAGAUUGAGGUGACAAACACGGCCAUAGCAUCGUUGGAAAAAAAAUGCGGGAGGGAAGGAAGAUAGCCACAUUGCAGCUGGUGCACAUGGAGUGUAAUUACCUUAUUGUUUACUACUUCAAGAAGCUUCUCGGAAAGUAAGAUAGCCACGUUGCAGCUGGUGGACAUGGAGGGCAAUUAACUUACUGUUGAUUUCUUCAAGAAGCUUCUACAGCUUGGAGAAUGCCCACUGUUUUGUUCGGUUGUAGUCGGUGGUUCAGACCCGGAGGAAACUUCUAUGUAAUUUAAUUUUUGUGAGAUGAUCUACCCGGGAAGACAUCAUGCCGUAUUUAUUUUACUACAACAACACAGUUUGUUCUGAUGACUCUUUCUUUGUCUGCGCUUUUGACCAUUAAUUACCU